Molecule: ribosomal RNA, 97 nt
Filed under: uncultured bacterium
Lineage: Bacteria
Description: partial 16S ribosomal RNA
Rfam family: Bacterial small subunit ribosomal RNA
Source: RNAcentral
CGCCGCGUGGAGGAUGAAGUCCCUUGGGAUGUAAACUCCUUUCGAUCGGGACGAUAAUGACGGUACCGGAAGAAGAAGCACCGGCUAACUACUGUGC